Molecule: ribosomal RNA, 526 nt
Filed under: uncultured deep-sea bacterium
Lineage: Bacteria
Description: bacterial SSU rRNA
Rfam family: Bacterial small subunit ribosomal RNA
Source: RNAcentral
AGAGUUUGAUCCUGGCUCAGAUUAAACGCUGGCGGCAUGCCUAACACAUGCAAGUCGAACGGAAACGAUGGGAGCUUGCUCCCAGGCGUCGAGUGGCGGACGGGUGAGUAAUACUUAGGAAUCUACCCAGUAGCGGGGGACAACAUUCGGAAACGGAUGCUAAUACCGCAUACGCUCUACGGAGGAAAGCAGGGGAUCUUCGGACCUUGCACUAUUGGAUGAGCCUAAGUCGGAUUAGCUUGUUGGUGAGGUAAAGGCUCACCAAGGCGACGAUCCGUAGCUGGUUUGAGAGGACGAUCAGCCACACUGGGACUGAGACACGGCCCAGACUCCUACGGGAGGCAGCAGUGGGGAAUAUUGGACAAUGGGGGCAACCCUGAUCCAGCAAUGCCGCGUGUGUGAAGAAGGCCUGCGGGUUGUAAAGCACUUUCAGUAGAGAAGAAAAGCCUACGGUUAAUAACCGUGAGUCUUGACGUUACCUACAGAAGAAGCUCCGGCUAACUCCGUGCCAGCAGCCGCGGUAAUA